GUGGGGAAUCUUGCGCAAUGGGCGAAAGCCUGACGCAGCCAUGCCGCGUGAAUGAUGAAGGUCUUAGGAUUGUAAAAUUCUUUCACCGGGGACGAUAAUGACGGUACCCGGAGAAGAAGCUCCGGCUAACUUCGUGCCAGCAGCCGCGGUAAUACGAAGGGGGCUAGCGUUGCUCGGAAUUACUGGGCGUAAAGGGCGCGUAGGCGGACAGCUUAGUCAGAGGUGAAAGCCCAGGGCUCAACCUUGGAAUUGCCUUUGAUACUGGCUGUCUUGAGUGUGGGAGAGGUGAGUGGAACUCCGAGUGUAGAGGUGAAAUUCGUAGAUAUUCGGAAGAACACCAGUGGCGAAGGCGACUCACUGGCCCAAUACUGACGCUGAGGCGCGAAAGCGUGGGGAGCAAACAGGAUUAGAAACCCCUGUAGUCC
This 425-nucleotide ribosomal RNA is filed under the name uncultured bacterium. RNAcentral describes it as "bacterial SSU rRNA". It matches the Rfam family "Bacterial small subunit ribosomal RNA", at positions 354 to 796 of the family's 1533-position model. The record is from RNAcentral.